GACGAACGCUGGCGGCGUGCCUAAUACAUGCAAGUAGAACGCUGAAGGAGGAGCUUGCUUCUCUGGAUGAGUUGCGAACGGGUGAGUAACGCGUAGGUAACCUGCCUGGUAGCGGGGGAUAACUAUUGGAAACGAUAGCUAAUACCGCAUAACAGUAGAUAUCGCAUGAUAUCUACUUGAAAGGUGCAAUUGCAUCCCUACCAGAUGGACCUGCGUUGUAUUAGCUAGUUGGUGAGGUAACGGCUCACCAAGGCGACGAUACAUAGCCGACCUGAGAGGGUGAUCGGCCACACUGGGACUGAGACACGGCCCAGACUCCUACGGGAGGCAGCAGUAGGGAAUCUUCGGCAAUAGACGGAAGUCUGACCGAGCAACGCCGCGAGAGUGAAGAAGGUUUUCGGAUCGUAAAGCUCUGUUGUAAGAGAAGAACGAGUGUGAGAGUGGAAAGUUCACACUGUGACGGUAUCUUACCAGAAAGGGACGGCUAACUACGUG
Molecule: ribosomal RNA, 495 nt
Filed under: uncultured bacterium
Lineage: Bacteria
Description: partial 16S ribosomal RNA
Rfam family: Bacterial small subunit ribosomal RNA
Source: RNAcentral